This 253-nucleotide ribosomal RNA is filed under the name uncultured bacterium. Its description in RNAcentral is "partial 16S ribosomal RNA". It matches the Rfam family "Bacterial small subunit ribosomal RNA", at positions 524 to 776 of the family's 1533-position model. The record is from RNAcentral.
AACGUAGGACGCAAGCGUUAUCCGGAGUUACUGGGCGUAAAGCGCGGGCAGGCGGUAGGUCAAGUCUGAUGUGAAAUCUCUCCGCUCAACGGGGAGCAGCCAUUGGAAACUGGGCGACUGGAGUCUGACAGAGGUAGGCGGAAUUCCGGGUGGAGUGGUGAAAUGCGUAGAGAUCCGGAGGAACACCAGAGGCGAAGACGGCCUACUGGGUCAGUACUGACGCUGAGCCGCGAAAGCCAGGGGAGCGAACGGG